RNAcentral lists this ribosomal RNA (119 nucleotides) under Salmo salar (Atlantic salmon). Lineage: Eukaryota; Metazoa; Chordata; Actinopteri; Salmoniformes; Salmonidae. The record is from RNAcentral.
GCUUACGGCCAUACCAGCCUGGGUACGCCCGAUCUCGUCUGAUCUCGGAAGCUAAGCAGGGUCGGGCCUGGUUAGUACUUGGAUGGGAGACCGCCUGGGAAUACCAGGUGCUGUAACCA